CCUACGGGUGGCAGCAGUGAGGAAUAUUGGUCAAUGGACGAGAGGCUGAACCAGCCAAGUAGCGUGAAGGAUGACUGCCCUACGGGUUGUAAACUUCUUUUAUAUGGGAAUAAAACAGGGUAUGCAUACCCUCUUGUAUGUACCAUAUGAAUAAGGAUCGGCUAACUCCGUGCCAGCAGCCGCGGUAAUACGGAGGAUCCGAGCGUUAUCCGGAUUUAUUGGGUUUAAAGGGAGCGUAGGCGGGUUGUUAAGUCAGUUGUUAAAGUUUGCGGCGCAACCGUAAAAUUGCAGUUGAAACUGGCAGCCUUGAGUACAGUAGAGGUAGGCGGAAUUCGUGGUGUAGCGGUGAAAUGCUUAGAUAUCACGAAGAACUCCGAUUGCGAAGGCAGCCCACUGGACUGCAACUGACACUGAUGCUCGAAAGUGUGGGUAUCAAACAGGAUUAGAUACCCCUGUAGUC
Molecule: ribosomal RNA, 460 nt
Filed under: uncultured bacterium
Lineage: Bacteria
Description: partial 16S ribosomal RNA
Rfam family: Bacterial small subunit ribosomal RNA
Source: RNAcentral